This 161-nucleotide ribosomal RNA is filed under the name Encephalartos cycadifolius. RNAcentral describes it as "5.8S rRNA". It matches the Rfam family "5.8S ribosomal RNA". Rfam says of the family: 5.8S ribosomal RNA (5.8S rRNA) is a component of the large subunit of the eukaryotic ribosome. It is transcribed by RNA polymerase I as part of the 45S precursor that also contains 18S and 28S rRNA. RNAcentral also lists the same sequence under 1 other name. Lineage: Eukaryota; Viridiplantae; Streptophyta; Cycadopsida; Cycadales; Zamiaceae. The record is from RNAcentral.
GCACGACUCUCGGCAACGGAUAUCUCGGCUCUCGCCACGAUGAAGAACGCAGCGAAAUGCGAUACUUAGUGUGAAUUGCAGAAUCCCGUGAAUCAUCGAUUCUUUGAACGCAAGUUGCGCCUUGGGCCUCGGCCAAGGGCACGUCUGCUUGGGCGUCGCAU